UACGUAGGGACCGAGCGUUGUCCGGAAUCAUUGGGCGUAAAGAGCGUGUAGGCGGCCACUUAAGUCCUGCGUGAAAUCCUGCGGCUCAACCGCAGGCGGUCGUGGGAAACUGGGUGGCUAGAGUGCGGGAGAGGAGAGUGGAAUUCCUGGUGUAGCGGUGGAAUGCGCAGAUAUUCGCAAGAACACCAGUGGCGAAGGCGGCUCACUGGCCCGGUACUGACGCUGAGGUGCGAAAGCGUGGGGAGCAAACAGG
This 253-nucleotide ribosomal RNA is filed under the name uncultured bacterium. RNAcentral describes it as "partial 16S ribosomal RNA". It matches the Rfam family "Bacterial small subunit ribosomal RNA", at positions 524 to 776 of the family's 1533-position model. The record is from RNAcentral.